GCCUAGCCCCGAUUGAAGCUUUGUUUGAGCUCUUUUUUGUUUUUCUUUUAAAAAACAAAAAAAGCGAGUGCGGAAAGCGGGAAAUUGC
This is a non-coding RNA of Tenacibaculum dicentrarchi, 88 nucleotides long. Lineage: Bacteria; Pseudomonadati; Bacteroidota; Flavobacteriia; Flavobacteriales; Flavobacteriaceae. The record is from Rfam.